This is a long non-coding RNA of Papilio polytes (common Mormon), 405 nucleotides long. RefSeq lists it as uncharacterized. The transcript has 2 exons. The record is from RefSeq and is a predicted model, not a curated record. NCBI's taxonomy places the organism in Eukaryota, Metazoa, Arthropoda, Insecta, Lepidoptera, Papilionidae.
GAGCCAGUAUAAAUAUUGAAGUAAAUUAUAAUUUUUCGUAGUACAAUUCUUUGCAAGCUUACAGUUACAAGCUUACAAUAACACAAUCUAAAAAUGUUCGGCAAACUGGUUGUAUUGUUCGCCAUCCUGGCUUUCGCUUUCGCGAGACCUCAAGUGUACCCUGGCUAUAGCUAUGGUAGCUACUCCGCCGCCGGCUACCCUGGGUACUACGGAUAUUCCGGGUACUCCAACCCGUCUGUAUCCUAUGGAGGCUACGGAACUUAUGCCGCAUCUCCCUACAGCAGUCUCGGUUAUGGAUACUAUUAGGAGGAUACCGCAGUGUAUUUACAUUUACUAUUGUUAAUCGGCCUUAUUUUGUUUUGAUUUGUUUAUUUGUAUAUUGGAUUAAAUUUGAAUUGUAAAUUA